GCUUGCUCUUAUGAAGUUAGCGGCGGACGGGUGAGUAACACGUGGGUAACCUGCCCAUAAGACUGGGAUAACUCCGGGAAACCGGGGCUAAUACCGGAUAACAUUUUGAACUGCAUGGUUCGAAAUUGAAAGGCGGCUUCGGCUGUCACUUAUGGAUGGACCCGCGUCGCAUUAGCUAGUUGGUGAGGUAACGGCUCACCAAGGCAACGAUGCGUAGCCGACCUGAGAGGGUGAUCGGCCACACUGGGACUGAGACACGGCCCAGACUCCUACGGGAGGCAGCAGUAGGGAAUCUUCCGCAAUGGACGAAAGUCUGACGGAGCAACGCCGCGUGAGUGAUGAAGGCUUUCGGGUCGUAAAACUCUGUUGUUAGGGAAGAACAAGUGCUAGUUGAAUAAGCUGGCACCUUGACGGUACCUAACCAGAAAGCCACGGCUAACUACGUGCCAGCAGCCGCGGUAAUACGUAGGUGGCAAGCGUUAUCCGGAAUUAUUGGGCGUAAAGCGCGCGCAGGUGGUUUCUUAAGUCUGAUGUGA
RNAcentral lists this ribosomal RNA (536 nucleotides) under Bacillus cereus. RNAcentral's name for it is "bacterial SSU rRNA". It matches the Rfam family "Bacterial small subunit ribosomal RNA", at positions 78 to 597 of the family's 1533-position model. The record is from RNAcentral. Lineage: Bacteria; Bacillati; Bacillota; Bacilli; Caryophanales; Bacillaceae.